This 63-nucleotide ribosomal RNA is filed under the name Virgibacillus sp. IRW2-8. RNAcentral's name for it is "partial 23S ribosomal RNA". The record is from RNAcentral. Lineage: Bacteria; Bacillati; Bacillota; Bacilli; Caryophanales; Bacillaceae.
AAGGGCGCACGGUGGAUGCCUUGGCACUAGGAGCCGAAGAAGGACGGGACUAACACCGAUAGC